RNAcentral lists this ribosomal RNA (497 nucleotides) under uncultured bacterium. RNAcentral's name for it is "partial 16S ribosomal RNA". It matches the Rfam family "Bacterial small subunit ribosomal RNA", at positions 28 to 507 of the family's 1533-position model. The record is from RNAcentral.
GAUGAACGCUGGCGGCGUGCCUAAUACAUGCAAGUCGAGCGAACAGACGAGGAGCUUGCUCCUGUGACGUUAGCGGCGGACGGGUGAGUAACACGUGGAUAACCUACCUAUAAGACUGGGAUAACUUCGGGAAACCGGAGCUAAUACCGGAUAAUAUAUUGAACCGCAUGGUUCAAUAGUGAAAGACGGUUGUGCUGUCACUUAUAGAUGGAUCCGCGCCGCAUUAGCUAGUUGGUAAGGUAACGGCUUACCAAGGCAACGAUGCGUAGCCGACCUGAGAGGGUGAUCGGCCACACUGGAACUGAGACACGGUCCAGACUCCUACGGGAGGCAGCAGUAGGGAAUCUUCCGCAAUGGGCGAAAGCUUGACGGAGCAACGCCGCGUGAGUGAUGAAGGUCUUCGGAUCGUAAAACUCUGUUAUUAGGGAAGAACAAAUGUGUAAGUAACUAUGCACGUCUUGACGGUACCUAAUCAGAAAGCCACGGCUAACUACGUG